CUAAGUUUGAUGGCGACCGGCGCACGGGUGAGUAACACGUAUCCAACCUGCCGAUGACUCGGGGAUAGCCUUUCGAAAGAAAGAUUAAUACCCGAUGGCAUAGUUCUUCCGCAUGGUGGAACUAUUAAAGAAUUUCGGUCAUCGAUGGGGAUGCGUUCCAUUAGGUUGUUGGCGGGGGUAACGGCCCACCAAGCCUUCGAUGGAUAGGGGUUCUGAGAGGAAGGUCCCCCCACAUUGGAACUGAGACACGGUCCAAACUCCUACGGGAGGCAGCAUG
This 277-nucleotide ribosomal RNA is filed under the name uncultured bacterium. Its description in RNAcentral is "partial 16S ribosomal RNA". It matches the Rfam family "Bacterial small subunit ribosomal RNA", at positions 79 to 353 of the family's 1533-position model. The record is from RNAcentral.